UGGUGACCCCUGGGCCAGGGCCUGCUGCCCCCUGCCCAGUGCAGGAGGGUGGAGGGUCACUCCUUAGGUGGUCCCAGUG
MicroRNA precursor from Gorilla gorilla gorilla (western lowland gorilla), 79 nucleotides. NCBI's taxonomy places the organism in Eukaryota, Metazoa, Chordata, Mammalia, Primates, Hominidae. The record is from Ensembl.